AGUGAACGCUGGCGGUAGGCCUAACACAUGCAAGUCGAACGGCAGCACAGUAAGAGCUUGCUCUUACGGGUGGCGAGUGGCGGACGGGUGAGGAAUACAUCGGAAUCUACUUUUUCGUGGGGGAUAACGUAGGGAAACUUACGCUAAUACCGCAUACGACCUACGGGUGAAGGCAGGGGAUCUUCGGACCUCGCGCGAUUGAAUGAGCCGAUGUCGGAUUAGCUAGUUGGCGGGGUAAAGGCCCACCAAGGCGACGAUCCGUAGCUGGUCUGAGAGGAUGAUCAGCCACACUGGAACUGAGACACGGUCCAGACUCCUACGGGAGGCAGCAGUGGGGAAUAUUGGACAAUGGGCGCAAGCCUGAUCCAGCCAUACCGCGUGGGUGAAGAAGGCCUUCGGGUUGUAAAGCCCCUUUGUUGGGAAAGAAAAGCAGCAGGUUAAUACCCCGCUGUUCUGACGGUACCCAAAGAAUAAGCACCGGCUAACUUCGUG
This 492-nucleotide ribosomal RNA is filed under the name uncultured bacterium. Its description in RNAcentral is "partial 16S ribosomal RNA". It matches the Rfam family "Bacterial small subunit ribosomal RNA", at positions 29 to 507 of the family's 1533-position model. The record is from RNAcentral.